AGGAUCAUUAUCAUGUAAUUCAGUCAUGCUUGCUGUGUGAGCUGUAUAUUAUAUUACCCACCCUGUGUACACUGUCCUGUUGNUUCCGCUGGGUGUAUCAGCUUGGCGGGAGGGUAAGAAUAAACUCGGAGUUUGCCAUGGAACGUGUCUGAAUGAACAAGAACCAACGAAAUGUUAAAAACUUUCAGCAACGGAUCUCUUGGUUCUNGCAUCGAUGAAGAACGCAGCGAAAUGCGAUAAGUAGUGUGAAUUGCAGAAUUCAGUGAAUCAUCGAAUCUUUGAACGCACAUUGCGCCUUCUGGUAUUCCGGGAGGCAUGCCUGUUCGAGAGUCAUUGACAACCAUCUCGAAUGCCCCCUUUUCAGUUCUCGAGGGUUUUUGGAUUUGGGGGGAAUCGGUUCUGGUGGAGGAGGGAAAUUGAGUUGCUGUGCCCCCCGCGCCCCCCCCCGGGUGUGGGUGCGGUGCAUCUCCCCUCCCCACCGAAAUUCAUAGGCGAUCUGUUAUUAACCCACAUGUUUUUAUGGCGUUGUAAAGGAGGGGCCUCGGAGUCACCGAGGAGCCACUUUUUCGCUUGUAACAAUUUGGGACCAUGGACUAGCCUUCUAAUUUUCAUUAAAUCAAAGGUUGACCUCGGAUCAGGNAGGGAUACCCGCUGAACUUAAGCAUAUCAAUAAGCGGAGGAAAAGAAACCAACCGGGAUUGCCUCAGUAACUGCGAGUGAAGUGGCAGAAGCUCAAAAUUGAAAUCCGGUACCUUUUGGUGCCUGACUUGUAAUUUGGAGAGACAAAUUUGGUUGAUGGCGCCGGCCUAGGUUCCUUUGAACAGGACAACAUAGAGGGUGAGAAUCCCGUUCCUGGCUGGAUGGCUGUCACAUUGCUAGAUUGUCUUCGACGAGUCGAGUUGUUUGGGAAUGCAGCUCAAAAUGGGUGGUAAAUGUCAUCUAAAGCUAAAUAUUGGCGAGAGACCGAUAGCGCACAAGUAGAGUGAUCGAAAGAUGAAAAGCACUUUGAAAAGAGAGUCAAAAAGUACGUGAAAUUGCUGAAAGGGAAGCGCUUGAGACCAGACUCGAACUGCGGUGAUCAGCCGUGCUCCUGCGCGGUGUCACUUGCCACGGUUUGGGCCAGCAUCGGUUCUGGCGGUCGGAUAAAAGGUGGAGGAAUGUAGCUUCCCUCGGGGAGUGUUANNNNNCCCCCACCACAAUGCGGCCAGCUGGGACCG
RNAcentral lists this ribosomal RNA (1217 nucleotides) under uncultured Pyronemataceae. Its description in RNAcentral is "eukaryotic LSU rRNA". The stretch from base 625 to 1217 matches the Rfam family "Eukaryotic large subunit ribosomal RNA", at positions 1 to 593 of the family's 3401-position model. The record is from RNAcentral. Lineage: Eukaryota; Fungi; Ascomycota; Pezizomycetes; Pezizales; Pyronemataceae.